CUGGCGGCGUGCCUAACACAUGCAAGUCGAGCGGAGAUAUAGAGAGAUUCUUCGGAUACUUCUUAUCUUAGCGGCGGAUGGGUGAGUAACACGUGGGUAACCUGCCCUAGCACAGGGGGAUAACAGCUGGAAACGGCUGUUAAUACCGCAUAUGCACACGCUGCCGCAUGGCAGAGGGUGGAAAGAUUUAUCGGUGCAGGAUGGGCCCGCGUCGGAUUAACUGGUUGGCAGGGUAACGGCCUACCAAGGUGAUGAUCCGUAGCCGACCUGAGAGGGUGACCGGCCACAUUGGGACUGAGACACGGCCCAAACUCCUACGGGAGGCAGCGGUGGGGGAUAUUGCACAAUGGGCGCAAAGCCUGAUGCAGCGACGCCGCGUGAAGGAAGAAGUAUUUCGGUAUGUAAACUUCUAUCAGCGGGGAAGAAGAUGACGGUACCCGACUAAGAAGCCCCGGCUAACUACGUGCCAGCCGCGGC
This 477-nucleotide ribosomal RNA is filed under the name uncultured bacterium. RNAcentral describes it as "bacterial SSU rRNA". It matches the Rfam family "Bacterial small subunit ribosomal RNA", at positions 36 to 518 of the family's 1533-position model. The record is from RNAcentral.